Molecule: long non-coding RNA, 551 nt
Filed under: Gadus morhua (Atlantic cod)
Lineage: Eukaryota; Metazoa; Chordata; Actinopteri; Gadiformes; Gadidae
Description: lncRNA (ENSGMOG00000026289.1)
Source: RNAcentral
CACAUGAACCACCCCACACACACAUAACCCACACACAUGAGGCACACAUAAACAAGACCUCAUGGACAGACCUCAAACAAAUCAAGACAGCAAAAGUGCCGAUGCCAACAUUAAACGUUGUGUAGUGAUGUCGUGUAAUGAUCUCCGAUUUAAUUUCCUUUUGAUAGUUUGUUCAAGGGGCUCCUGCCUACGCCUACCCACCCCUGGCCCUUCCUCCCUCACCCAUUGGUGUCUCCAAUGUUUUCCCCGUCCCUGCAGCCAACACUGUUCCUUAUAUGGGCGUUCCUCAAAUGGCAGGAUUCAACCCCCUUCAACAACAGGGUGUACAAGCAGGGGGUGCUUUGCCUCAACGUUUCAAGCGUCAAAUCAUGAAACAGCGGAAUACUGCAAUGGAAACUCAGAUUCAGACUCCACCUGAGAUGCAAACAACAGCCAUUCCCUGUGACGUCCACAAGGAGAACAACUAAAAUAAUGUUUUAAUAAACUGGAGACAUAAUGGCUAUAAUUGGCUUGAAAUAAAGGCUUAAAAUAAAGUGACCUUAUGCAUGCAC